ACUACGGGAGGCAGCAGUGGGGAAUAUUGGACGAUGGGGGAAACCCUGAUCCAGCGACGCCGCGUGAGUGAAGAAGUAUUUCGGUACGUAAAGCUCUAUCAGCAGGAAAGAAAAUGACGGUACCUGACUCAGAAGCCCCGGCUAACUACGUGCCAGCAGCCGCGGUAAUACGUAGGGGGCAAGCGUUAUCCGGAUUUACUGGGUGUAAAGGGAGCGUAGACGGCAGCGCAAGUCUGGAGUGAAAUGCCGGGGCCCAACCCCGGAACUGCUCUGGAAACUGUGAAGCUGGAGUGCAGGAGAGGUAAGCGGAAUUCCUGGUGUAGCGGUGAAAUGCGUAGAUAUCAGGAGGAACACCGGCGGCGAAGGCGGCUUACUGGACUGUAACUGACGUUGAGGCUCGAAGGCGUGGGGAGCAAACAGGAUUAGAUACCCGAGUAGUC
This 440-nucleotide ribosomal RNA is filed under the name uncultured bacterium. RNAcentral's name for it is "partial 16S ribosomal RNA". It matches the Rfam family "Bacterial small subunit ribosomal RNA", at positions 338 to 795 of the family's 1533-position model. The record is from RNAcentral.